AUGAGCUUGCACUUUGGUGAACACAGUGGCAUUCAGACUAUCCAGGGCAGAGUGUCUGCACAGAGCCUGUGUCUGAUGACCCCUGAAAGUGUGCUGUCUCACAAGUAGUUCUCCACUCCCAGACCUGGAUCCCUGGGCUUCUAGCUAGGAAGCACAGCAGCAGGCAUCACGGGAAGAUGAAGAGCUUCCCUGAAGAUGACCCAUCUCACAGCCUUUUGGGGAUACAAGGCUGGCAUAACCUAUAUCAAGUGGGAAGUUGAUAAGCCAGGAUCCAAGGGGAACAAGAAGGAGGUUGUGGAGGUUGUAAUCAUAGUGGAGACACCACCCAGGGUGGUUAUAGGCAUUGUGAGCUACGUGGAAACCCUACCAGGCCUCCAGUCCUUCAAGACUAUCUUUGCUGAGCGUAUCAGUAAUGAGUGCAAAAGGUGCUUCUAUAAGAACUGGCAUAAAUCUAAGAAGAAGGCCUUUGCCAAAUACUGCAAGAAGUGGCAGGAUGUAAUGGGCAAGAAGCAAUUGGAGAAGGACUUCAGCAUGAAGAAAUACUGCCAGGUCAUCCGGAUUAUCGCCUACACCCAGAUGUGGCUGCUUCCCUUGCACCAGAAGAAAGCCCGCCUGAUGGAGAUCCAGGUGAAUGGAGGCACCUUGGCUGAGAAACUGAACUGGGCCAGGAGAGGCUGGAGCAGCAGAUCCCGGUGAACCAGGUGUUUGAGCAGGAUGACAUGAUGGAUAUCAUCAGUGUGACCAAGGGCAAAGGCUACAAAGGAGUCACCAGUCACUGGCAUACCAAGAAGCUGCCCGGCAAGACCCACCAAGAGCUGUGCAAGGUUGCCUGUAUUGGAGCUUGGCAUCCUGCCUAUGUGGUCCUCUCUGUGACCUGGGCUACCAUCACCACACUGAGAUCAACAAGAAGAUCUACAAGAUUAGUCAUGGCUACCUCAUGAAGGAUGACAAACUAAUCAAAAAUAAUGCUUCCACUGAUUAACCUGUCUAAAUGACAAGAGCAUCAGCCCUUUGGGUGGCUUUGUCCACUAUGGUGAAGUGACCAGUGACUUCGUCAUGCUGAAAGGUUGGUGGGUCCAAGAAGCCAGUGCUCACCUUCCACAAGUUCUUGCUGGUACAGACUGAACAGCGCUCUGGAGAAGGUCGGCCAGGGUUCAUGACACCACAACCAAGUUUGGCAAUGGCUGCCUCCAGACUAUGGAGGAGAAGAAAGCACUCAUUGGACCACUUCAGAAAGGCUGGAUCACCAAGGAAGAAGGUGCUUGA
Molecule: non-coding RNA, 1266 nt
Organism: Marmota flaviventris (yellow-bellied marmot)
Lineage: Eukaryota; Metazoa; Chordata; Mammalia; Rodentia; Sciuridae
Source: RefSeq, a predicted model, not a curated record